This is a non-coding RNA of Pelobates cultripes (western spadefoot toad), 98 nucleotides long. NCBI's taxonomy places the organism in Eukaryota, Metazoa, Chordata, Amphibia, Anura, Pelobatidae. The record is from the annotation of a GenBank genome assembly.
AUGUAAGUACCAAGGCAGGCUAGUGUAUUCUAAGAUGGUACUUGCAUACUGUACAGUUACCGCCUUAGAAUACACUAGCCAACCUUGGUACUUGCAUU